RNAcentral lists this unclassified non-coding RNA (24 nucleotides) under Mus musculus (house mouse). RNAcentral's name for it is "oocyte_clustered_small_RNA12451". Lineage: Eukaryota; Metazoa; Chordata; Mammalia; Rodentia; Muridae. The record is from RNAcentral.
UGGCUCUGUAUGGUUCCCAGCACA